UUUCCGUAGGUGAACCUGCGGAAGGAUCAUUAUUGUAUAACCGAGGUGCGAGGGCCGUCGCUGACCCGAAAGGUCGUGCACGCCCGAGUGCCCUUCACACACAUCCAUCUCACCCCUAUGUGCACCACCGCGUGGGUCCCCCUUUGGCUUGUUCGGAGGGGGGCUUACGUUUUCACACAAACUUUGUAUGCAGUGUAGAAUGUAUUCUUUGUUUUUGCGAUCACGCAAUCAAUACAACUUUCAACAACGGAUCUCUUGGCUCUC
Molecule: unclassified non-coding RNA, 264 nt
Filed under: plant metagenome
Description: partial contains small subunit ribosomal RNA, internal transcribed spacer 1, and 5.8S ribosomal RNA
Source: RNAcentral